CAGGGCCAAACUGGAGGCUUUGGGCUGGAGGAAGCAUGGAGCCCCAAAUCAAAAAUUGGGUGGCCUCUCUCUCAGCAUGGCAUGGCUCACUUUUGGUGGGUGUCAUGUGCUUGCGAUCAGCAGCAGCCACAGCCAGUGCUCGUCUACUGAAUGAAAACUACAGCAGUAAACAGCAGCGAAAGUGUGGAAUAGUGUGGGGUGGUCCCCUCUGGGAGUCAUGGGAUGAUGAUGUUGAGCAGAGGAGAGUUUCAGCACAGCACAAAGGAAAAUGUCCUGAUGCUGUGCUGGCCCUCAGGGGGAUGGGGAGAACCCCUUGGACUGAGUCAUGGGGAUAGACAGGAAAGAGCUGUGGAAAAUGGGCAGUCAGAAGCAGCCCUGCUGGCAGCAACCUACAUGGGAUUUUCCAACUCCCAAUUUAUGUGAAGUGGAAAGUGAUUUAUUUUGCUUAAUAUUGCUUUCCUAUAAUGAGUAGUACCUAGAGGGGAGGUGCAGAGCUUGGGUAAGGAGUGUCUUCAGGAAUCUGCCUGCUGCUGCAAGAGCAGCACUUCCCCAUCACUGCUGUGUUGGUCUGAGAGUCACAUCUCUGUCCUGCCCACAUGUCCCUACAGUGGCACUGCCUGCAUAUCCCUGAGAAACAAAACAACCCAAGUCACACAGGGUUGCCCUCUCCUACCUCAAGAGUUGCUGCUUUUUCUCCAUAUCCAGGUCGGCUGAGAGGCACUGAGUCAGCAGCACGAUGUGGAGAUGAAACAUACCUGCAGAAGGGCGUUUUGGAAAGUCCUGCAAUUCUGCCAGAACUGCGCGUGAUGGAGGAUAAUGAGUCCUUCUAAAAAUAGCAGCAGCACCUCCUCAGAGGGUUACUGGGGCAGCUGCUGGAGCUCAGAAGAGGCUGUAAUUCAUAUGCUGAAGCCACACAGGGACGUUUGGGCUUUGUAAUUCCUGUGCCAUAAAGCAAAAGAAGCAAAAGUUGUAUCUGAAGAGCCCACAGAAAUUCAGAGGAUGAGGACAUUCCACUCCUGCUGUGCUCGUCAUGGAAGGAAGCACCACUGUAACCCAGGGGAUGGCACUGAGGAUUCUGUUGGCGCACACAGCACACCUUGCAGAAUAAAACCCAGAAUGGCAGCAGAGCAGCUGAUGGCCGUGGGAGCGGCUCAGCCUCACCGAGGGGUUCUGUUUCCUGGGACAAGAACGGGUGCAGCCUCCAGAGCUCCACUGCGAUAAUGCAAGCCAUGGGCACGGGCUGGGAGUGCAGCGUGACCCCGUGGGAACUUCCUGAGGGAAAGCAAGUUUGAGGGAGGGGCAAAGCGCAGGUUCAGCCCCUCUCUGCACUCACAGUGCUCCUCACAGCAGCAUCUAUACAGAAGCACUCCGCAUUUCCCAGGGAGAGGCCCUUACCGCAGCACCCCGUGCUUAGCCCACGACGCUGGCAGCUGUCCCCCCAUGUGUGAGCUCCUCCCCACCGGCCCCAUCCCAGCACCCCCAUCUGUUGGGCCCCAGCCUUCCCCUGGUCUCCUCUUACUCUGAAUUGCAGCUCUGAUUGCACAGCUUUAUGCUCUUGCAGCGCUUUGCUGUUGGAACAAUUUCUUGCCAAAAGCACAGCACGGUGCUGUGCCUUCCUGCUCCCCCCGGCUGCCAUCUGCCACCCAGCAUAAAGCAAACGUGGGGCUGCUGCUGCCCAUCUGCUCACCAUAGAGUCAACCGAGCAGCCUUCCUCCCGCCUGCAGCAGCCACUGCACCGGAGGCUGCAAUUGCUGGAAGUGCCAAGGAGACAGAGGGAGACACACAAUACCUUUCAUUGUGCUUCAUCUGUGUACUGCAGCACUGAGUCCAAGUGGGUCCUACUGCUUCCAUCCAUCCUGGAAAGAAGAGACAAGCACUGAACCCCUGCUAGCUGCCUGCGAGCUCGCUGUGUAAGCAAUCUGCAGCAGAUGGUGCCCAGAUGUUCCCCAUCCCCAGAUGUUCCAGCUUUAUACAGAAGACAACUCCCGCUCUUCAGCUCUGGAGCGAGGGCACGAGGAGCACAGAAGGGUAAUUAGUGCUUACACACAAACACCAACACAGAGGCUGAUUCCUCCUUACAGUUUCACUACAGGACACAAACUUCUGACACCCACCAGAGCCUGAGCUAACUGUGCUGCCUGGAAGCCACACUGUUAUGGCUGCCCAGGGCUCCCUACUUGUACCGAUGGAAAAGUUACCUUCAUCUCCAUAGUAACAUAACACUGCUGCUUUCAGGAAGUUCCAAGA
This 2247-nucleotide long non-coding RNA is filed under the name Gallus gallus (chicken). RNAcentral describes it as "long non-coding RNA NONGGAT009429". Lineage: Eukaryota; Metazoa; Chordata; Aves; Galliformes; Phasianidae. The record is from RNAcentral.